Molecule: transfer RNA, 72 nt
Filed under: Urocitellus parryii (Arctic ground squirrel)
Lineage: Eukaryota; Metazoa; Chordata; Mammalia; Rodentia; Sciuridae
Also listed under: 2 other names
Description: Spermophilus parryii (Arctic ground squirrel) tRNA
Rfam family: tRNA
About the family: Transfer RNA (tRNA) molecules are approximately 80 nucleotides in length. Their secondary structure includes four short double-helical elements and three loops (D, anti-codon, and T loops). Further hydrogen bonds mediate the characteristic L-shaped molecular structure. tRNAs have two regions of fundamental functional importance: the anti-codon, which is responsible for specific mRNA codon recognition, and the 3' end, to which the tRNAs corresponding amino acid is attached (by aminoacyl-tRNA synthetases). tRNAs cope with the degeneracy of the genetic code in two manners: having more than one tRNA (with a specific anti-codon) for a particular amino acid; and 'wobble' base-pairing, i.e. permitting non-standard base-pairing at the 3rd anti-codon position.
Source: Rfam by way of RNAcentral
GAUUAUGUAGCUCAGUGGUAGAGCACUUGCCUAGCAUGUGUGAGGCUCUGGGUUCAAUCCUCAGUAUAAACA